GGCGUUUCAAGCAAUGUUUGUGGAGAUGUUUGCUGUCAGGGCACAUGCAGUACAAAGUCAGUAUGCUGUGCAUUGAGAACCAAGACCACAGUGACAUCACAAUAUGCAAUGUGAGCGAACACUGACAGAAAGACCUUGGAUUCAUCAUACAUUUGAUUUUGAAUUCAUUUUCAGUCACUGCGUGUUUAGAACCUUUCUACCCUGGUGACUUUUUUUUUUUUGGAAGUCCAGUUACAGGACCCUCUCCAGCAUUGAGACCUACUUGAAUUUUUUAAAAUAUUUUUGUGCAUUGGGGGUGGUGUUUAUCUUUGUGGAGAUCUGCAGUUGGUUCUUUCACUUCCAUUGUGAACUCUGUGGAUGGAACUCAACCCCUGAGACUCACAGGGAGCACUUUACCGGAGAGGCUGCCUCAUCAGCCUGGAGCCUACAGUACGAUCAUUUCCAGGAUUUGGAGGGUCAGGCUACACAUCUGGAAGGACAUCAGCUUCCCACCUUCUACUUCACUCCAGAACCAUUCCAUCGUCUUCAAGGAACCAGCGUUGUGAAACAGCCCAGACAAGCCCCUCACACCUCAAACCUUCCUCCCCCUCCUAACGCCCAAGUCACUUUCUACGGGGUUGGUCUGGAAAAUAACUGAAAAUGGUCUCUGUAAACUGAAAAGACGAAAUCAGAACAGACGUUUGAGAAACAAGCCUUCUAGCUGGC
This 705-nucleotide long non-coding RNA is filed under the name Rattus norvegicus (Norway rat). RNAcentral describes it as "long non-coding RNA NONRATT033778". The record is from RNAcentral. Lineage: Eukaryota; Metazoa; Chordata; Mammalia; Rodentia; Muridae.